RNAcentral lists this long non-coding RNA (745 nucleotides) under Bos taurus (domestic cattle). RNAcentral describes it as "long non-coding RNA NONBTAT021987". Lineage: Eukaryota; Metazoa; Chordata; Mammalia; Artiodactyla; Bovidae. The record is from RNAcentral.
UCAACAAGCAGGACACCAGGGCUGAGAUCUCUAAUUUUUUAAACUAGUUGCAUGGCUUGGACAAAUUUCCAUCUCUUUAAGGAGGUAUCCUAUUUGUGCAAUGACACAGAGCUUAGCAACUGUUUUAUUCUAUAUAUAACGUGACUAAAUCAAAUUCACUUUAUUUUAGUACUUGGGUCAGAGGUCAACAGAAAAUUUAGAGUAGAAUUUUUUCAAACUUUACCAGUACAUCUGAGCCCUGGGUGGUUCUGAGGAAACAAAAUAGACAAGGAUAAGAACUGUUAGUAUUAAGAUGUAGAUUUGCAAAAAAAAAAAAGCAACAGGUAUUUGAAAGCAAAUUUCCACUGUUUCAUCUAGAUCUGAUUCUUGGUCAUCAGGACUAUUUCAGCCCCUGUCUAGAGUCAGGGUAGUUCUGUGGUGAAUCAGCACUCCUUUCCUGAAGGGAGCAUGUGCCUAUUAGCUCAUCUCAGUGAAUUCUGUUAUGAUGUCUGGCUUGAUAAAAAUCUGUGUGCAGUAAAAAUCAGUAAAAAGCCCAUCUCCCCACCCCCAAGUAAAAAGCCCAUCCCAUCUGCUUUGUUCUUAUAAAGUUCCACCAAAAGAAAUCUGUAUAAUGGAGGACUUUGUAUGUACUGGUUCACUGUGCCAGUUCACUUCAUAAAUUGUUUCUUUAAAGAUAUGAUUUUCUUGUUAUAGUUCUAUGCACUUAUUAUCUGAGUAACUGUUUAAAUAUACUUAAAUGUUUUCC